Molecule: ribosomal RNA, 253 nt
Filed under: uncultured bacterium
Lineage: Bacteria
Description: partial 16S ribosomal RNA
Rfam family: Bacterial small subunit ribosomal RNA
Source: RNAcentral
UACGUAGGCAGCGAGCGUUGUUCGGAAUUACUGGGCGUAAAGGGCGCGUAGGCGGCCUUCUAAGUCGAACGUGAAAGCCCCGGGCUCAACCUGGGAAUUGCAUUCGAGACUGAAUAGCUAGGGUGCGGUAGAGGGAAGCGGAAUUUCCGGUGUAGCGGUGAAAUGCGUAGAUAUCGGAAGGAACAUCAGUGGCGAAAGCGGCUUCCUGGACCAGCACCGACGUUCAGGCACGAAAGCGUGGGGAGCAAACAGG